GAUGAACGCUGACAGAAUGCUUAACACAUGCAAGUCAACUUGAACUUCGGUUUGGGUGGCGGACGGGUGAGUAACGCGUAAAGAACUUGCCUCACAGAUAGGGACAACAUUUGGAAACGAAUGCUAAUACCUGAUAUUAUGAUUUUAGGGCAUCCUAGGAUUAUGAAAGCUAUAUGCGCUGUGAGAGAGCUUUGCGUCCCAUUAGCUAGCUGGAGAGGUAACGGCUCACCAAGGCGAUGAUGGGUAGCCGGCCUGAGAGGGUGAUCGGCCACAAGGGGACUGAGACACGGCCCUUACUCCUACGGGAGGCAGCAGUGGGGAAUAUUGGACAAUGGACCGAGAGUCUGAUCCAGCAAUUCUGUGUGCACGAUGAAGUUUUUCGGAAUGUAAAGUGCUUUCAGUUGGGAAGAAAAAAAUGACGGUACCAACAGAAGAAGUGACGGCUAAAUACGUGCCAGCAGCCGCGGUAAUACGUAUGUCACAAGCGUUAUCCGGAUUUAUUGGGCGUAAAGCGCGUCUAGGUGGUUAUGUAAGUCUGAUGUGAAAAUGCAGGGCUCAACUCUGUAUUGCGUUGGAAACUGUGUAACUAGAGUACUGGAGAGGUAAGCGGAACUACAAGUGUAGAGGUGAAAUUCGUAGAUAUUUGUAGGAAUGCCGAUGGGGAAGCCAGCUUACUGGACAGAUACUGACGCUGAAGCGCGAAAGCGUGGGUAGCAAACAGG
This 722-nucleotide ribosomal RNA is filed under the name uncultured Fusobacterium sp. RNAcentral's name for it is "bacterial SSU rRNA". It matches the Rfam family "Bacterial small subunit ribosomal RNA", at positions 28 to 776 of the family's 1533-position model. The record is from RNAcentral. Lineage: Bacteria; Fusobacteriati; Fusobacteriota; Fusobacteriia; Fusobacteriales; Fusobacteriaceae.